AGAUUCUAGACAGUGGAGAACAGAUAGGAUUGAAGCAUUUUAAGCCUAUAAAGCCCUUGGGAUCUGGUGAUACUGGCAGUGUGCAUUUGGUCCAAUUGUGUGGAACUGAUCAGUACUACCCAUGAAGGCUAUGGAUAAGGGUAUCAUGCUCAAUAGGAACAAGGUAUUGGAUAGUUUGCUGACCAUUAAGUGCAAAUCAAUUUGUUUCAGUGGGAGAAAAAAGGCAAGCAGCAUAUACCCAGCAGCAUAUUGAUGAAGUCAAAAACGAGUGGGCAAAAUUUGUUGUUAAAACAUAUAUGUAAGCUUGUGGGUGGUGAUCGACUUAUUUUGGUAACCUUGAUUUUACAAGAUAUAUAGACAAUAUUAUUAUUACUUGCUAGAUUGAGGUUACUUUUGGUUAGAAUUGCUGGAUUUGAUCAUAUCUGGAUAUGGAUAUGUACUUUUGGAAAUGUUUUAGAUUGGCAAUGUAAGAACAGAUGGCAUUGAUAUAUGACGAUGUUAUAUUUUGGAUUUG
Rosa rugosa (rugosa rose) is the source of this 514-nucleotide long non-coding RNA. RefSeq lists it as uncharacterized. The transcript is spliced from 2 exons. The record is from RefSeq and is a predicted model, not a curated record. NCBI's taxonomy places the organism in Eukaryota, Viridiplantae, Streptophyta, Magnoliopsida, Rosales, Rosaceae.